CCUACGGGAGGCAGCAGUGAGGAAUAUUGGUCAAUGGACGAGAGCCUGAACCAGCCAAGUAGCGUGAAGGAUGACUGCCCUAUGGGUUGUAAACUUCUUUUAUAUGGGAAUAAAAUGUUCCACGUGUGGGAUUUUGUAUGUACCAUAUGAAUAAGGAUCGGCUAACUCCGUGCCAGCAGCCGCGGUAAUACGGAGGAUCCGAGCGUUAUCCGGAUUUAUUGGGUUUAAAGGGAUCGUAGGUGGAUUGUUAAGUCAGUUGUGAAAGUUUGGGGCUCAACCGUAAAAUUGCAGAUGAAACUGGCAGUCUUGAGUACGGUAGAGGUGGGCGGAAUUCGUGGUGUAGCGGUGAAAUGCUUAGAUAUCACGAAGAACUCCGAUUGCGAAGGCAGCUCACUGGACUGCAACUGACGCUGAGGCUCGAAAGUGUGGGUAUCAAACAGGAUUAGAUACCCGGGUAGUC
RNAcentral lists this ribosomal RNA (460 nucleotides) under uncultured bacterium. Its description in RNAcentral is "partial 16S ribosomal RNA". It matches the Rfam family "Bacterial small subunit ribosomal RNA", at positions 338 to 795 of the family's 1533-position model. The record is from RNAcentral.